This 400-nucleotide ribosomal RNA is filed under the name uncultured bacterium. RNAcentral's name for it is "bacterial SSU rRNA". It matches the Rfam family "Bacterial small subunit ribosomal RNA", at positions 32 to 441 of the family's 1533-position model. The record is from RNAcentral.
AAUCAACGCUGGCGGCGUGCCUAACACAUGCAAGUCGAGCGAGAAAGUGGGGGCAACUCCAUGAGUACAGCGGCGACCGGGUGAGUAACACGUGACUAACCUACCCUUGAGUGGGGAAUAACUCCGGGAAACCGGAGCUAAUACCGCAUAACACCGCAAGGUCAAAGGAGCAAUUCGCUUAAGGAGGGGUCGCGGUUGAUUAGCUAGUUGGUGGGGUAAUGGCCCACCAAGGCGAUGAUCAAUAGCCGGCCUGAGAGGGCGCACGGCCACACUGGAACUGAAACACGGUCCAGACUCCUACGGGAGGCAGCAGUGGGGAAUUUUGCGCAAUGGGGGAAACCCUGACGCAGCAACGCCGCGUGAAGGAUGAAGGUCUUUGGAUUGUAAACUUCUUUCGUCC